Long non-coding RNA from Sinocyclocheilus grahami, 2000 nucleotides. RefSeq lists it as uncharacterized. The transcript has 2 exons. NCBI's taxonomy places the organism in Eukaryota, Metazoa, Chordata, Actinopteri, Cypriniformes, Cyprinidae. The record is from RefSeq and is a predicted model, not a curated record.
GUCAACUCUGACGACGGGAAACCCGGAAAUGUUCCGAGUAAUGAAUGAAUCGUCCAGUGCUGUUUAGUGAACUGGUUCAAUUGAGUCAACAUAUUUGACUCCAAAGAACGAUUCGUUCGAACAUGAUUCGAACAUAGCUAAGAUGGAAAAAAGGACACGUUUGGUGCAGUGCACCUUCAAUGGCAAAUUAAAAAAGUGGACUCAACUAUUUAUUUGAGCUCUCAAAACAUUGUUAUAUAGUUUGUGUGAAACAACAGGAGCAGUCGCGGCUAUGCAUAAAAUGACCUUUGUAAACCUUUGUCUUAUCUAGGUUUGUCUUACAAUAGGUUUCUGUUAGUUUAGAAGAAUCAAACAGAACUCCUUGGCGUGUUGGAAACACACAUUGCAGCCCGUGCACCCAUCGAUGUUAUGUACUUAAAUGACACGCUCUGCAUUGAAAGAUACUCAAUGAAGUUAGAGACCGACUUCCCUCCAUUCUCCUGCUGGGUCCUAAUGCUCCCUCUGACCGGGUUUGAUGACAGACUGCCCCACAUGACUUCUGAUGCCACUCAUCACACAAAGAAUUACAGAAGAAAUCAAUCUUUAAUUGCAAUAGAAGAUGUACAUAGUCUGUUGAAACUGACAGAUAAAUAAAGUUAGUAAAGUAGCAGUAGUGAUUAAAAAAGAGAGACUCAAAAAUAUGGUUAUACUCUAGCUCUCUUCCUUCACUAUGGAAAUUAAUAGAACACUUCAUAACAAUCUAUUGGGCAAACAGGUUGUAAACACUACACACAAAGGCAGAAAACAUGAUGGUUUCACCUGUUUGUCAGUGAGGUACAAAAACUAAGUAUCAGUAUCCCUUGGCAUGAAAGACCCCACAGUUACUGUUAGGUCCUAAUCAGGGUUACAGCUUGUUAUUUGUCACUUGUUUCAAUGGUGUGAUAAUGUGUUUUUCAUCAUAUAUUAUGAGUGUGAACAUGUUAUCCCUAUUAUUGGCCAUUCAAUUCAUGUUUACUCCCUCUGCAUUUAUUUCAUUACCAAAUCAGGUGACGUAAUCGCCCUGGCAUGACCCAAAAAUAUAUUAAACCCACUUUAAGGUAUUACAGCAUUUCCUGAUCCAUCCUAACAGGAGUGAUGAAAGUAAUCUGGUCUAACCUUACCAACAGAUCUCUUUUUUUAAGAGCAUAACAUCUCAGAAAUAAAGAAAACGAAAGAAAGAAAAACAUUGCACCUUAAUUCUUUCCUAGUAUCGGUUUUGUCUUCAUCAUCUGUAUUAGACAUAAGCCAUAUGUAUUUCUACCAUCACAAUAUACAAUGUGUGUUUAAUCAAUAUUAGUCUAAUAAUCCUAAAGUCUUCUUGUGAGAAAAGUGUACAUUCAGUAUGCAUUACUCCUUUGAAAUGACCUGAACAAAGUACAGCACCGUAGUGCUCAAUUUCAUCUGCUAACUUCACAAAUAACAGUCAGACUUUGGUAUUCAUUGUCAAGCAAAUCAGCACUUAUUUCAGUCCACCUAAGCUUAUGUAGUCCUUGUAUAAUAGUGAAAUAAAAGGACUGAAAAAUAUCAUUUUAUAACCUUUAAAAUUAAAUAUUACUUAAUAAUGUACUUGAUGGAUGAUGUCGAAUGAUUCAUCCACUCUCAUUAUAGUUGUAUUAAUCAUAUUUACAUUCUCUUCACUCACUUUGCUGGUGCAUAAAUUAAUAGAGAACAUAAGGCAAAAUUCAAAAUCCUUACAAUUCCUGAUUCCUUCGUUUUGUCAUUCAGAAACAAAAUAAAAUGUGUCCAAGAACCACUUUACACUCAAGUAAAACUAAAAUGUUCCAACCAUUCUGUUUGUUAUUUAUUUCUGUCUUUCUUUGUCAAUUAUUCUAGCCUGUCUGAUCAUUUAUAUGCAUCUGUCACAAAGAACAGUUGCACAAUUUCUAGGUACAGACCAGGCAUGACUAUGUGUCUGAGGAUGUGUUUGUUUAGUUAGACUGGAACAGGUAUUCAGGUCUCUCUGUGUGUGUGGGACAGAAAUG